This 889-nucleotide ribosomal RNA is filed under the name uncultured bacterium. Its description in RNAcentral is "bacterial SSU rRNA". It matches the Rfam family "Bacterial small subunit ribosomal RNA", at positions 505 to 1397 of the family's 1533-position model. The record is from RNAcentral.
GUGCCAGCAGCCGCGGUAAUACGGAGGAUGCGAGCCUUAUCCGGAUUUAUUGGGUUUAAAGGGUGCGUAGGCUGUUCCUCAAGUCAGCGGUGAAAUGCCGGGGCUCAACCCCGGAGCUGCCGUUGAUACUGUGGGGCUUGAAUACUGUUGCCGUGGGAGGAAUGAGUAGUGUAGCGGUGAAAUGCAUAGAUAUUACUCAGAACACCGAUUGCGAAGGCAUCUCACGAAGCAGCGAUUGACGCUGAGGCACGAAAGCGUGGGGAUCAAACAGGAUUAGAUACCCUGGUAGUCCACGCAUAAACGAUGAUGACUAACCGUCGGCGAUACACAGUCGGUGGCCAAGCGAAAGCGAUAAGUCAUCCACCUGGGGAGUACGACCGCAAGGUUGAAACUCAAAGGAAUUGACGGGGGCCCGCACAAGCGGAGGAACAUGUGGUUUAAUUCGAUGAUACGCGAGGAACCUUACCCGGGCUCGAACGGCUGGUGAAGAGAAACAGAGAUGUUGACGUCCUUCGGGACACCAGUCGAGGUGCUGCAUGGUUGUCGUCAGCUCGUGUCGUGAGAUGUUGGCUCAAGUGCCAUAACGAGCGCAACCCUUGCUGCCAGUUACCAGCACGUGAUGGUGGGGACUCUGGCAGGACUGCCACCGUAAGGUGUGAGGAAGGCGGGGAUGACGUCAAAUCAGCACGGCCCUUACGUCCGGGGCGACACACGUGUUACAAUGACAGCUACAGAGGGAAGCCACCUGGCGACAGGGAGCAGAUCUCGAAAAGCUGCCUCAGUUCGGACUGGAGUCUGCAACCCGACUCCACGAAGCUGGAUUCGCUAGUAAUCGCGCAUCAGCCAUGGCGCGGUGAAUACGUUCCCGGGCCUUGUACACACCGCCCGU